RNAcentral lists this ribosomal RNA (690 nucleotides) under uncultured Acidobacteriota bacterium. RNAcentral's name for it is "bacterial SSU rRNA". It matches the Rfam family "Bacterial small subunit ribosomal RNA", at positions 15 to 737 of the family's 1533-position model. Lineage: Bacteria; Pseudomonadati; Acidobacteriota. The record is from RNAcentral.
GAUCCUGGCUCAGAAUCAACGCUGGCGGCGUGCCUAACACAUGCAAGUCGCACGAGAAAGGGGCUUCGGUCCUGAGUAAAGUGGCGCACGGGUGAGUAACACGUGAAUUAUCUACCUUCGAGUGGGGAAUAACUGGGAGAAAUCUCAGCUAAUACCGCAUAAUACCUACGGGUCAAAGCAGUAAUGCGCUUGAAGAGGAGUUCGCGGCAGAUUAGUUAGUUGGCGGGGUAAUGGCCCACCAAGACGAUGAUCUGUAUCCGGCCUGAGAGGGCGCACGGACACACUGGAACUGAAACACGGUCCAGACUCCUACGGGAGGCAGCAGUGGGGAAUUUUGCGCAACGGGGGAAACCCUGACGCAGCAACGCCGCGUGGAGGAUGAAGUAUCUUGGUACGUAAACUCCUUUCGAUGGGGAAGAUAAUGACGGUACCCAUAGAAGAAGCCCCGGCUAACUUCGUGCCAGCAGCCGCGGUAAUACGAGGGGGGCAAGCGUUGUUCGGAAUUAUUGGGCGUAAAGGGUGCGUAGGCGGUUUGAUAAGUCUGAUGUGAAAUCUCUGGGCUCAACCCAGAGUCUGCAUUAGAAACUGUCGGGCUUGAGUAUGGGAGAGGUGAGUGGAAUUUCCGGUGUAGCGGUGAAAUGCGUAGAUAUCGGAAGGAACACCUGUGGCGAAAGCGGCUCACUGGACCAU